RNAcentral lists this ribosomal RNA (253 nucleotides) under uncultured bacterium. RNAcentral describes it as "partial 16S ribosomal RNA". It matches the Rfam family "Bacterial small subunit ribosomal RNA", at positions 524 to 776 of the family's 1533-position model. The record is from RNAcentral.
UACGAAGGGGGCUAGCGUUGUUCGGAAUUACUGGGCGUAAAGGGUUCGUAGGUGGCCGACUAAGUCAGACGUGAAAUCCCUCAGCUCAACUGGGGAACUGCGUCUGAGACUGGCCGGCUUGAGUGCAGGAGAGGAACGCGGAAUUCCAGGUGUAGCGGUGAAAUGCGUAGAUAUCUGGAGGAACACCGGUGGCGAAGGCGGCGUUCUGGACUGCUACUGACACUGAGGAACGAAAGCCAGGGGAGCAAACGGG